Non-coding RNA from Cynocephalus volans (Philippine flying lemur), 681 nucleotides. Lineage: Eukaryota; Metazoa; Chordata; Mammalia; Dermoptera; Cynocephalidae. The record is from the annotation of a RefSeq genome assembly.
AUGAGAUUGUGGAAUCUUCUCCUUUGCCUGCUGACAGCUCCCCAAGGUGUCCUGUCUGAGGCGCAGCUGCAGGAGUCAGGCCCAGGACUGGUGAAGCCCUCGCAGACCCUCUCCCUCACCUGCACAGUCUCUGGUGACUCAAUCACCAGUGAUUAUGGUUGGAGCUGGAUCCGCCAGCCCCUAGGGCAAAGCCUUGGGUGGAUGGGAUACAUGUAUUCUGCUGGAAGCACAGCUUAUAACCCAUCCCUCAAGAGCCGCAUCUCCAUCACCAUAGACACAUCCAAGAACCAGUUCUUCCUGCAGCUGAGCUCUGUGACCGACAAGGACACAGGCGUGUAUUACUGUGCGAGACUCACAGUGAGGGGAAGUCAGCGUGAGCCCAGACACAAACCUCCCUGCAGGAUACAGGAGGGGUCUGGGCUGCAGGGGGCGCUCAAGGCCCACCCAGCUCCUGUGCCCCAUGGAGCAGGACUGGUGUGGAUUCCCUCUAAAGCUGUCAAUCCUUCUCAUGUGGAACCCCAGAUCCAACGAAGGACCCGAUCCCAGAGUUUCAACACGUCACCAUCUCACCUCAGUGCAUCCCUCCGGAAAUGGCCUGCAUCAGACCGCCAGUGUGAUGAUGCUGGCAACCAACUCCACUCCAACCUACAUGAACCCGCCGGUAAGGACAACCACAACUAG